This 303-nucleotide ribosomal RNA is filed under the name uncultured Streptococcus sp. Its description in RNAcentral is "bacterial SSU rRNA". It matches the Rfam family "Bacterial small subunit ribosomal RNA", at positions 1074 to 1382 of the family's 1533-position model. The record is from RNAcentral. Lineage: Bacteria; Bacillati; Bacillota; Bacilli; Lactobacillales; Streptococcaceae.
GUGGUUAGUCCGCAACGAGCGCAACCCCUAUUGUUAGUUGCCAUCAUUCAGUUGGGCACUCUAGCGAGACUGCCGGUAAUAAACCGGAGGAAGGUGGGGAUGACGUCAAAUCAUCAUGCCCCUUAUGACCUGGGCUACACACGUGCUACAAUGGUUGGUACAACGAGUUGCGAGUCGGUGACGGCGAGCUAAUCUCUUAAAGCCAAUCUCAGUUCGGAUUGUAGGCUGCAACUCGCCUACAUGAAGUCGGAAUCGCUAGUAAUCGCGGAUCAGCACGCCGCGGUGAAUACGUUCCCGGGCCUU